GGUUACGUCAAGACUCACGGUUAUUAACCGUAGGCUUUUCUUCUCUACUGAAAGUGCUUUACAACCCGCAGGCCUUCUUCACACACGCGGCAUUGCUGGAUCAGGCUUGCGCCCAUUGUCCAAUUAUUCCCCC
RNAcentral lists this ribosomal RNA (133 nucleotides) under uncultured bacterium. Its description in RNAcentral is "partial 16S ribosomal RNA". The record is from RNAcentral.